RNAcentral lists this non-coding RNA (23 nucleotides) under Arabidopsis thaliana (thale cress). The record is from RNAcentral. Lineage: Eukaryota; Viridiplantae; Streptophyta; Magnoliopsida; Brassicales; Brassicaceae.
AUCAAACGCUUCCACGGUCUCUC